AUUUAAUAUAUACACCUAGACAGUGUACGUGUGUGUGUGUGUGUGUAUAUAUACACACACACACACGUACACUGUCUAGGUGUAUAUA
This 88-nucleotide microRNA precursor is filed under the name Pelobates cultripes (western spadefoot toad). Lineage: Eukaryota; Metazoa; Chordata; Amphibia; Anura; Pelobatidae. The record is from RNAcentral.